This is an RNA transcript of Ctenopharyngodon idella (grass carp), 5381 nucleotides long. RefSeq lists it as uncharacterized. NCBI's taxonomy places the organism in Eukaryota, Metazoa, Chordata, Actinopteri, Cypriniformes, Xenocyprididae. The record is from RefSeq and is a predicted model, not a curated record. The transcript has 7 exons.
GCCAAAAUAUUGAUGGAAAGAACUCAAAACGGUUAGAUUUUGAACAGAAGAGGGUCUUUUCCAGUUUCCAAACUCCAAAUUCGUACAAAAGUUAAAUUCUGCUUAUUUUUUGACUGGAUAGGCACAAAGAUUGCUCAUUUCUAGGGGUGUAACGAUACCCUCAUGUCACGAUUCGUUACAUAUCACGAUACUGAACUCACGGUACUCGAUAUUCCAAAACAUUUGGUAAAAGGUUAAAAAAAAUGUACUGUUGAUUAAAAUACUAAAUUUGGUAUUACAUUGGGAGAGGGAAUGAAUAAGCUUGGACUUGGUGCUGGUAACACAAUGCACAGGACAAUGGUGACUGUAGCAUAAAAAUAUUAAUGAUUCUGAAGCUGAAAAUAUAGAAAUAUUUUAGACAAAUAUGCUUGCAGUCUGUCACUAACUAGAUAUAUUUAAAGUAAUGUAGGCAACUUUUUACUGCUAAUACCAAAUGUCUUGUGUUACGAGGACCCACAAAUAUUUCCCCAUUGUAUUAUUAUACAUUAUAUUUAACAUUUAUAUAUAGGCUAAUUUUCAUUUUGAGUGAACUAUACACAAUAAGUAUUGUCACCAUCCAUAAUACGUAUUGUUGCAUUUUUGAAUUGCGAUAUAUUGUUACACCCCUUCUUAUUUCGUAUAACAGUGUUGGGCUUGGAAAGUCUCACUCUCCUGUUCUUUCUAGCGUUGCUUGACAACAUGCAGUCAUAUGGUGCAUUCAAGUCAUGUCGGAAAGAUCGUAUUUAUGAGUUGAAUGCACAUGAAUGCCACCACAAUGUCAUCAAUUGGAGUGGGAAGCUCAGGGUUUUCUCGAUAUUUAUGAGUUGGAGGCGUGUCAGUGAGAAAGAUGGUGGAAUACCACAAAAUUUUAAGGUAUUUAGCAGUCAAGCUUUUCUAUUUACAAUGAAGUAAGCUUUUUGCCUGCACAAAUUAUUUUAGCAUUGUAAUCUAACAAUAUAAUAUUUAACAAUUAAAUUUACAGUGGCUUCAAAAAUUAAUUAAAAACAUAAAGCAAAACAUAACUAAUGCACAUUCUUUUUUUCUUCAUUUUCUACAAGUAUAGAGUUAAAAACGUUGCUGCAUUUUUGUGUAGUUAAUUAAGAGAAUGUACACCACCAUCUUACUCCGACGAAAGUGACUUUGCAUGGGAACUUUUUUUUUUUUUUUUGGUUUCUAUCACCACCUUGAAGCUUGACCUUGGCUGUGUCCAAAAUCACCCCCUAUACCCAUAAAUAGGGCACUAUUUGAGGGGUCAGCUAUUUGUAGUGGUGUUCGAAACCAUUGUGGAUGUUAUCGAGUGCACUCAUUCAAUCCCACAAUGCACUGUAAUAGUGUACAGUCAGUGUACACUCAACUGCUAGAGAAUACCCAUAACUGUGAGAUGGGUAACUGUGAGAUGGGAUCCACACUGUGAGAGUCGUGCAGUGAAUGAAUUCCCAUGUCUCGACGAUGGUGCCCACAGCUGAAUCAUCCAUCCAUCCAUUUACCAAACCGCUGGUCCAACCUGGCUACAUCGUAAUAUACAGUGAACUAUAUUAGUGGACUAAUGUAACUGACGUCGAGUACGUUUAUGAUGGAUGGAGGCACUUUCUUGAGCUUCAUACUCGUUGAUCCUGUUCACUGCCAUUAUAAAGCUUGGACGCAUCAGGAUAUUAAUGUAACUCAGAUUGUGUUCAUCAGAAAGAAGAGUCAAAUACACCUAGGAUGGCUUGAGGCGUUCCGGUUGAGAUUAGCACUCAGUGGCAGCAGGAAUCUGUUCCAUACUCCCCCAGCAGUGAGCUCGACUCCAGCUCAGCGAAACAGGAGAGUCCUGUGAGCAGCCACAGUUGGGUGAAACAGGAACCAGAGCCUGAAGUAAUCCAGCAGGAAAACAUGAAUUCAGAGGCCGCCACUGAUGCUGAGCAGGACAAAUCUCUGAGCAGUGCUGUUGCUACAGCGGAACCUCCGAUGGAGGGUUUACCCAGCAGUGUUAUGCUGACCAUCACCAAACUUCAGUGCUUACUGGAGAGCAAACAGGAGAGGAUUGAUGCACUAGAGAGGCAGGUGCAAGACCUACAAGAGGAUCGCAAGUUCCUCCGCUCUCAGAUCGAAAACCUCACUGGAGCUCGCUUGGUUUCAGUGCCUGAAGUUCCUAAAGCGAGCACAUCCAUGUUCUCAGAGCCCAGGUCACGUAAAAGGCGGCGUAAGAGCUCGUCCAGCUCAUCUGCCAAUGAUGAGAGCUUCACUGAUGAAUCCAGCAGCACUUCUUCAUCUGAAGAGUCCAGCAGCGUCAGGAAAAAGAGACGCCACAAGAAAAAAGGGAAGAGAGGGUGUGUUUCCCAGCGUGACUAGGUCUUGAUCUGCCUUCAUCAAGAAGAAAAGCAUGAGUAGGGCUUUCCGUCCAAGUCUGUCACUAAGGUUCACAGGGCCCGGGACAAUUUUUAUGAGUGAGCCUCCAUGUGCCCAGGAGUACAGUAGGCUAUACUGUAAAGGACCUUCUUUGGGCCCUCCAUCUUAUGGCCUGGUUGACCCUCCCUGACAGUGUCCACAACACGGCCCUCAUCGCAGAACUGCACUUGGUUGCUAACAAGUCUGUUUCUCUGGUGGGUCAGGCCUUGUGAGAAAACGUCCUCAGCUGUGCCCAGCAGUGUGUCGUCUCUGCAGAGCUGUUCAGUUUGUAAUUCUACAACCCGGAAAAGACUCAAGAUUUCUGAGCCUUGAUCUAGUUGGUUGGUGGUUCAUGAGUUUAUAUGAGUUUUCUUUUUUGCUUUAAAAAUGCAAGUUGCUAUUAAGGACUACAAUGAUUUGUCAUACAUAAUUCUUCUAACAUGUAUACAAAGAUUUCAGAUUUCAUUUGAAAACUGCUACUCUGAAAACCAUUAGGAGAACCUUAAGACUAUGGUGAGCUAGUCUUCCCGGUUGGCCUACGAUAUCACAACUGAACUGCUGUUUUAUGAUGAUGGAUCCCUCGCAAGAAGGAUGGAGCAGGUGAAAGCUUCUGAGAACUGCUACCUAGUACUGCUAAACAAACAUUCUACAUGCACACUAGAGGGCGCUCUGAGACUACUGCGAAGUGAAAAUGAGAGGCGCUGGGCCCUGGAAGGAAAUAAAAAAUAGUGGGUGACAUUAAAACAUGUGUUAUGCAUAUGAUGAUAUCUCACACGUUUUAUCAUACGAGUUACUGUGCGUACGUCUCUUAGAAGUUUUAAGUAGUUUGUGUAAUAAAUGCACAGAUCUCUUAAAACUGUGCUUUUUUUAUCUUAAGUUGCACAUAUUGUUGCAUACAGUAGCUGAGUGAAAUAGAUCGUCCAGUCCAGUCAUGUAUGUUUUUGUUUUUGUAUUCUUCACAUAAACUCUACCAAGGUUUUAUUCUCACACAGUUCCAUCACGUUCCUUUAUGUCAGGGUAAUUUAAAUCUGGCCCUUGAGGUCCACUGUCCUGCGAGAGUUUAGCUUCAACCCUAAUCAAACACACCUGAACAAGGUCUUCAGGAUUAUUAGAAAAUCGCAGGCUUGUGAGUCGGAUCAGGUUUGGAGCUGAACUCUGCAGGACAGGGGCCCUCAAAAGCCAGAGUUGAAGAACACUACUUGUGAUUUGUUUUGUUUAAAAUGUUUUUUCAUUCUAUGGUUUUAAAAUGUCUGCAGAGUUGUUUAACAAUUAAAGGUGCUGCAAGUGAUUUUAACCAUUGUGCUGUAUUAAACCAGGGAUCAUAUUCCAACAAUUUUGAUGCCAUGGACCUUUAAAUAUGUUAUCUUUGCAAGGGACACCUUUACUAAUAACAAUUCUAUAUAUAUUCAUAUAUAUGUUUUAAAGAACCAUUUAUAUAGUAAAAAAAAAAAAAAAAAAAAAAAUAAUGCUAGUAAUGUGUAUAAUAUUAUCUGGGAAAUAUUUAAAUAUAAAUAAACAUGAAGAGAAACAAAGUAACUGUCAAUCUUAUGAUACCAGACCAGUUUUUAGAAAACAGAAUAAAGCGGCCAUGUCAAAUACUGUACAUUUAAUUAUAUCUAUUAAAUUAUAAUUAACUUGGCAACACUUUACAAUAAGGUUUGUAUGUAUGUAUAUGUGUGUAUAUUUAUUUAUUUAUUUAUUUAUUUACUUACAUUUUUCUCAGAACUUUUUCACAGACCCCAUAGCAUCCCCUUAAGGCCCUUGGGGGAUCCCUGGAUAUCAAAUAUCAGAUACUAAAUCUUGCUCAUCAGAAAUAUUGCUCAUCCUAGUGUUCACGGUUAUACUGACACCGAUUUUCAGCACAUUAUGACCCUCGAACAGUUCGGUUUGACAUUGUGGGAAGGGAUGUCUGACUCAUUUCUGCGAAUCGGUUCUUAUGAACGAUUCGUUUUAAAGAACCGGAGAUUCUUUUUACGUAAUUACGUCAUUACGCUAUAGAUGCUCCAAAACAUGUAGGAAGAAACUGCUGUUAUGGUCUGAAUAUUUUAAUAUUUGACUUAGUAUAACCUAUGAUGCAAUUUUCCUUUGUCCCAGUUUGUUUCAGCCACGAUUAAGCUCGAAAACAGUAAUUUAGAACCUAAAUACAUUUUGGAUUUGCAUUAAAUAAUACGGGAAUUCAUUUACAUCUCUUGGCUUUUUUCUUUUCUUUUCAUGUUUUAAUAAAAUGCUAUAAACAUGUAAGUAUUAUUUGUAAUCUACGAUUCAGUUAUUAAAUAUAACUUAUUUUCCACCUAAUCAGGCAGUAAGUUUGAACAGGUCAAAUCCCCAAAUCACUGCUUACGGUCCUUACGGUUCUUGUUCAGAUGAGUCAGUUGAGCGGUUGACUCGAGAUCCGCGCGGACGGACUGAUUCAGAGUCCAAUUCGCGAACGAAGCGAACAGUCCUGUUUUGUGAACCGGUUCAACUAAUUCUUUGAAAGGAUCCAGCAAAACAAUCCUUCACGAAUGAGUCAUCCUCCCUUAAUUUUUAGCUAUUUGAUAUGAUUCUCUGAAUUAAAAAGCGUCUUGAUAUUUUGUUCUUGUUGUUGGACAGACCAUGUCUAGGUGGUGUAACCGUUGUUAAAUUAUGACUAGGAGAAAAUGUCUUAUCACAAGCUUGAAAUCCUUGGAAAAACAACGUAUGAAGCAGUUUGUUAUAUGUAUUAUUUCUAUCAAAACAAGUAGUGAAGCUGUUCUGUGUGGUGUAACCAGAGCCCCUCCCCUAUCGCUGGUGUAACCGACGACAUGUAGGAAGCUGUUCUGCUGUCAUGUGACCGUGAAACAGGAAAUGGUGUGACUGUGAAAGAGAGGAACCCUGCAAAUCCUCAUGGCAGUGAGUCAAGAAAAAUGUGGAAACUAAAAUGUCAAAUGGUGUAACCUGUUACCCCAUUUGACUCCCACUGAAAGUUCUAGCACACAAACUAUGGUGAUUUCAGAUGCUGAAAAUGUAGCCUAAAG